UACAAAGGGACCAAAUUGGACCCAAGUAAAGUUAUACUCGUUGUAGAGUACAUUCUGCAUAACAAGGUGUACCGGCCGGCUUACAUAUAAGAAUCAAUUUGGAAACUGGCAAAAAAGAAGCAAAAAUUCUAGAAGAAAAUGAUGACUCAGAGGAUGACCGGAAGCAACAGCACCAGUAAAUGGAUAAAAAUGUUGCACUUUUAGUGGUAGCAGAAAGUUCUGGCAAAGAGGAAGAUAAGAAAAGCACAAAAAAAACGAAAGAAGGUGAAACAUUUGGAUGAAGCUUUACAAAGGAUAGAUAUUACAAAGGGACCAAAUUGGACCCAUGUAAAGCUAUACUCUUUGUAGUGUACAGUCUGCAUAACAUAACCUAACCUAGACCAUUGAUUAAUCUGCAGGCUACCCCAGAGAGUAGACACAUUUUAAUAAUAAAUGCAAUUUCUUUUAAAUGAUAA
Molecule: long non-coding RNA, 455 nt
Organism: Lucilia cuprina (Australian sheep blowfly)
Lineage: Eukaryota; Metazoa; Arthropoda; Insecta; Diptera; Calliphoridae
Exons: 2
Source: RefSeq, a predicted model, not a curated record